This 573-nucleotide ribosomal RNA is filed under the name Macrothemis celeno. RNAcentral describes it as "eukaryotic LSU rRNA". It matches the Rfam family "Eukaryotic large subunit ribosomal RNA", at positions 1389 to 1888 of the family's 3401-position model. The record is from RNAcentral. Lineage: Eukaryota; Metazoa; Arthropoda; Insecta; Odonata; Libellulidae.
UCGCGGCGCUGCGCGCAGAAGGGUCUGGGCUCGAGCCUGCCUGGAGCCGCCGCCGUUGCAGAUCUUGGUGGUAGUAGCAAAUACUCCAGCGAGGCCCUGGAGGACUGAUGUGGAGAAGGGUUUCGUGUGAACAGCCGUUGCACACGAGUCAGUCGAUCCUAAGCCCUAGGAGAAAUCCGAUGCAAACGGCGAUGGGAAAAAUGAGACUGACUUGUAAGAAUGUAGUAAAGAGACCCAUUGAUCGGGCGAAAGGGAAUCCGGUUCCUAUUCCGGAACCCGGCAGCGGAACCGUUGUUUGUCGGGCCCUCGCAAGGGGUUCGUCAGGGCAACCUAAAAGGGCCCGGAGACGCCGUCGGGGGCCCCGGAAAGAGUUUUCUUUUCUGCACGCGCGUUCGAGUUCCCUGGAAUCCUCUCGCAGGGAGAUAGGGUUUGGAACUCGAAAAGCACCGCAGUUGCGGCGGGGGGCGGGAAUUCCCAACUGACCUUGAAAAUCCGGGAGAGGGCCACGUGGAGGUGUCACGCCGGCUCGUACCCAUAUCCGCAAUAGGUCUCCAAGGUGAAUAGCCUCUAGUC